UACAGAGGGUGCAAGCGUUAAUCGGAAUGACUGGGCGUAAAGGGCGCGUAGGUGGUUGAUGAAGUGAGAUGUAAAAUCCCUGGGCUUAACCUAGGAAGGUCAUUUCAUACUGGUUGACUAGAGUACAGGAGAGGGCAGUGGAAUUUCCGGUGUAGCGGUGAAAUGCGUAGAUAUCGGAAGGAACACCAGUGGCGAAGGCGUCUGCCUGGCCUGAUACUGACACUGAGGCGCGAAAGCGUGGGUAGCGAACAGG
RNAcentral lists this ribosomal RNA (253 nucleotides) under uncultured bacterium. RNAcentral's name for it is "partial 16S ribosomal RNA". It matches the Rfam family "Bacterial small subunit ribosomal RNA", at positions 524 to 776 of the family's 1533-position model. The record is from RNAcentral.